CUACGGGUGGCAGCAGUCGAGAAUCUUCCGCAAUGGACGAAAGUCUGACGGAGCGACGCCGCGUGCGGGAUGAAGGCCUUCGGGUUGUAAACCGCUGUCAGUGGGGAGAAAAUGCAUCAGGGUUUUCCCUGGUGUUUGACCGAUCCGCAGAGGAAGCGCAGGCUAAGUUCGUGCCAGCAGCCGCGGUAACACGAACUGCGCGAACGUUAUUCGGAAUCACUGGGCUUAAAGAGUUCGUAGGCGGCCUUUCAAGUCGGGUGUGAAAUCCCUCGGCUCAACCGAGGAAUUGCGCCUGAUACUGUUGGGCUUGAGGGGGAUAGGGGUGAGCGGAACUGAUGGUGGAGCGGUGAAAUGCGUUGAUAUCAUCAGGAACACCGGUGGCGAAGGCGGCUCACUGGAUCUCUUCUGACGCUGAGGAACGAAAGCUAGGGGAGCGAACGGGAUUAGAUACCCUCGUAGUC
RNAcentral lists this ribosomal RNA (461 nucleotides) under uncultured bacterium. Its description in RNAcentral is "partial 16S ribosomal RNA". It matches the Rfam family "Bacterial small subunit ribosomal RNA", at positions 339 to 795 of the family's 1533-position model. The record is from RNAcentral.